CUUGUGUACAAUUUGGAAAUUAGUAUGGCGUUCAUUAUCACUGAACUAGUAUAUAUUUGUUUAGGGGCCAGCUGAAGGACGCCUCCGGGUGCGGGAAUUUCUCGCUACAUUGAAGACCUGUUGGUGACCUUCUGCUGUUGUUUUUUUCUAUGGUCGGGUUGUUGUCUCUUUGGCACAUUCCCCAUUUCCAUUCUCAAUUUUAGUAUAAUUAUCAACA
RNAcentral lists this long non-coding RNA (217 nucleotides) under Mytilus galloprovincialis (Mediterranean mussel). The record is from RNAcentral. Lineage: Eukaryota; Metazoa; Mollusca; Bivalvia; Mytilida; Mytilidae.